This is a long non-coding RNA of Hyla sarda, 1296 nucleotides long. RefSeq lists it as uncharacterized. The record is from RefSeq and is a predicted model, not a curated record. The transcript is spliced from 3 exons. NCBI's taxonomy places the organism in Eukaryota, Metazoa, Chordata, Amphibia, Anura, Hylidae.
CAUUAAACCGCGACUCAGUCCGUAUCAACUCCGCAUAGCAACGGCGCUGAGUAAUCUCGUCACUGACUCCCGACUGGUUUAUAGAAAAUACAUUAGAUACUCCAGGCCGCUGAGAAUCCCCAGUGGAGUCUAGAAAUUUCCACAGUAAGGACUUUUUCACACUACGUCAUCUCCCGAAGAUUAUUUUGUGGACAGCUGGUGCUAGGGGAACAAUCCAGAGUGUCACCUGACUGUCUCCAGGAUCCUCCUGAGUCAAUGUGCUGAUAACAGAACAAAUUGUUAAUACAACUGUUCCUACGUGUAUCAUGAAGCAGAGCACCUCGCACCUCAGCUUUCAGUCAUCUAGGAAGGUUUGGCUGAUGAAGGUUGCUUAACCCCUUAAGGACUCAGCCCAUUUUGGCCUUAAGGACUCAGACAAUAAAAUUUUUACAUUUUCAUUUUUUCCUCCUCGCCUUCUAAAAAUCAUAACUCUUUUAUAUUUUCAUCCACAGACUAGUAUGAGGGCUUGUUUUUUGCGCGACCAGUUGUCCUUUGUAAUGACAUCACUCAUUAUAUCAUAAAAUGUAUGGCGCAACCAAAAAACACUAUUUUUGUGGGGAAAUUAAAACGAAAAACGCAAUUUUGCUAAUUUUGGAAGGUUUCGUUUUCACGCCGUACAAUUUAUGGUAAAAAUGACGUGUUCUUUAUUCUGAGGGUCAAUAUGAUUAAAAUGAUACCCAUUAUUACAUACUUUUAUAUUAUUGUUGUGCUUAAAAAAAAUCACAAACUUUUUAACCAAAUUAGUACAUUUAUAAUCCCUUUAUUUUGAUGACCUCUAACUUUUUUAUUUUUCCGUAUAAGCGGUGGUAUGGGGGCUCAUUUUUUGCGCCAUGGUCUGUACUUUUUUUUGAUACCACAUUUGCAUAUAAAAAACUUUUAAUACAUUUUUUAUAAUUUUUUUUAAAAUAAAAUGUAUUAAAAAAGUAGGAAUUUAGGACUUUUUUUUUUUUCGUUCACGCCGUUCACCGUACGGGAUCAUUAACAUUUUAUUUUAAUAGUUCGGACAUUUACGCACGCGGCGAUACCAAAUAUGUCUAGAAAAAAUUUUUUUACGCUUUUUGGGGGUAAAAUAGGAAAAAACGGACGUUUUACUUUUUUAUUGGGGGAGGGGAUUUUUCACUUUUUUUUUACUUUUACUUUUACAUUUUUUUUUACACUUGAAUAGUCCCCAUAGGGGACUAUUCAUAGCAAUACCAUGAUUGCUAAUACUGAUCUGUUCUAUGUAUAGGACAUAGAACAGAUCAGUAUUAUCGGUCA